RNAcentral lists this ribosomal RNA (516 nucleotides) under uncultured bacterium. RNAcentral describes it as "partial 16S ribosomal RNA". It matches the Rfam family "Bacterial small subunit ribosomal RNA", at positions 28 to 523 of the family's 1533-position model. The record is from RNAcentral.
GAUGAACGCUGGCGGCGUGCCUAAUACAUGCAAGUCGAACGCAUUGAGAGAAGUGCUUGCACUUUUCAAUUUGAGUGGCGAACGGGUGAGUAACACGUGGGCAACCUACCUGAUAGCGGGGGAUAACGAGUGGAAACAUUCGCUAAUACGGCAUAACAAUAGAGAAGGCAUCUUCGUUAUGUAAAAGGCGCUUUCAAGCGUCACUAUCAGAUGGGCCCGCGGUGCAUUAGUUAGUUGGUGGGGGGAAGGCCUACCAAGACGAUGAUGCAUAGCCGAGUUGAGAGACUGAUCGGCCACAUUGGGACUGAGACACGGCCCAAACUCCUACGGGAGGCUGCAGUAGGGAAUCUUCCACAAUGGACGAAAGUCUGAUGGAGCAACGCCGCGUGUGUGAUGAAGGCUUUCGGGUCGUAAAGCACUGUUGUAUGGGAAGAAAUGCUAGGCUAGGAAAUGAGCUUAGUUUGACGGUACCAUACCAGAAAGGGACGGCUAAAUACGUGCCAGCCGCCGCGGUAA